CAGCAGCCGCCGCGGGAAUACAGAGGGUGCGAGCGUUAAUCGGAUUUACUGGGCGUAAAGCGUGCGUAGGCGGCUUUUUAAGUUGGAUGUGAAAUCCCUGAGCUUAACUUAGGAAUUGCAUUCGAUACUGGGAAGCUAGAGUAUGGGAGAGGAUGGUAGAAUUCCAGGUGUAGCGGUGAAAUGCGUAGAGAUCUGGAGGAAUACCGAUGGCGAAGGCAGCCAUCUGGCCUAAUACUGACGCUGAGGUACGAAAGCAUGGGGAGCAAACAGGAUUAGAUACCCGUGUAGUCCCUGUCUCUUAUAC
This 304-nucleotide ribosomal RNA is filed under the name uncultured bacterium. RNAcentral describes it as "partial 16S ribosomal RNA". It matches the Rfam family "Bacterial small subunit ribosomal RNA", at positions 506 to 807 of the family's 1533-position model. The record is from RNAcentral.